CCCCUUUCAGGACAUCAGUGUCUUUGGUUUUGUUGUCCUUGGUUUUACUGUCUUCCUCCCCUCCCCCUCCACCUAAUUCAGUCCAUUCACCAUGGAUCCCCUGAAUCUAGUUACCCCUAUUGAUAAGGCCAAGCACAAUGUGAAAUCUGGUCACUUAUGAAGCCAUUUCUAUUCUGGACUUUACGCUCCUGCUAUACAGAAUUAGUUGAUUCAGUUCCUUCAAGCUGUCAUGCUGCUUUCUGCCUCAUAUACUUUGCACAAAUCUUGUCCUUUGCCUGAUAGGUCCUCCUUCUGCUCAAAAACACCAUCUCCUCCACAUUCAUCAGUGAGGUCCUCUUCAGUCUUAACAGGCCAGUUCAAGGGUUGGUCACUCUGCCUUUCAUCCUCACAGUGACAUCUCUGGGACAAGGUCAUUAUUUAAUCAUCUUUAUUAUCCUUGGUGGUUAGCAUCUAAUACCCGUCUGACAAACACAUGUUGAGACAUGAGCGGACAAAUGACACAAGAGAACAUGAGAGUUUAUAUAGACAGAAGAAAAGCUACACAAUGAGCCUGUGGGAGGUGGAAGGCCCCUCAGCUAAUUUUCCAGUCAGAGAAAUGCACUUAAUUUUAAAGCCAACAAAAGCAUGUAACAAGGAAGACCUACGUGGCUGCCACAAAGAAAUGAAAUGAUGAAUGGGACCAUCAAUAAUUCACAUGUUCCGUGUAGAUGUAACAGAUUGCCUGAUUGUACAAAAUGACUUCUAUCUUGGUGAAGAACCAACACAUUAUUCCUCAUGGGUCUCUUUGACUCCCUACCUUUGUCUUUAAUGUAUAAAGUACGUCUUGUUUCUGACAAAUGCAGUGCUGUUUGCUGGUCUUAAUAAAGGUCAGACGGAUGGACA
RNAcentral lists this long non-coding RNA (882 nucleotides) under Vulpes vulpes (red fox). RNAcentral's name for it is "lncRNA (ENSVVUG00000013164.1)". Lineage: Eukaryota; Metazoa; Chordata; Mammalia; Carnivora; Canidae. The record is from RNAcentral.